This 497-nucleotide ribosomal RNA is filed under the name uncultured bacterium. Its description in RNAcentral is "partial 16S ribosomal RNA". It matches the Rfam family "Bacterial small subunit ribosomal RNA", at positions 28 to 507 of the family's 1533-position model. The record is from RNAcentral.
GAUGAACGCUGGCGGCGUGUCUAAUACAUGCAAGUCGAGCGAACAGACGAGGAGCUUGCUCCUCUGACGUUAGCGGCGGACGGGUGAGUAACACGUGGAUAACCUACCUAUAAGACUGUGAUAACUUCGGGAAACCGGAGCUAAUACCGGAUAAUCUAUUGAACCGCAUGGUUCAAUAGUGAAAGACGGUUUUGCUGUCACUUAUAGAUGGAUCCGCGCCGCAUUAGCUAGUUGGUAAGGUAACGGCUUACUAAGGCAACGAUGCGUAGCCGACCUGAGAGGGGGAUCGGCCACACUGGAACUGAGACACGGUCCAGACUCCUACGGGAGGCAGCAGUAGGGAAUCUUCCGCAAUGGGCGAAAGCCUGACGGAGCAACGCCGCGUGAGUGAUGAAGGUCUUCGGAUCGUAAAACUCUGUUAUUAGGGAAGAACAAAUGUGUAAGUAACUAUGCACGUCUUGACGGUACCUAAUCAGAAAGACACGGCUAACUACGUG